RNAcentral lists this ribosomal RNA (446 nucleotides) under uncultured bacterium. RNAcentral's name for it is "partial 16S ribosomal RNA". It matches the Rfam family "Bacterial small subunit ribosomal RNA", at positions 338 to 795 of the family's 1533-position model. The record is from RNAcentral.
CCUACGGGGGGCUGCAGUCGAGAAUCAUUCACAAUGGGGGAAACCCUGAUGGUGCGACGCCGCGUGGGGGAAUGAAGGUCUUCGGAUUGUAAACCCCUGUCAUGUGGGAGCAAAUUAAAAAGAUAGUACCACAAGAGGAAGAGACGGCUAACCCUGUGCCAGCAGCCGCGGUAAUACAGAGGUCUCAAGCGUUGUUCGGAAUCACUGGGCGUAAGGCGUGCGUAGGCUGUUUCGUAAGUCGUGUGUGAAAGGCGCGGGCUCAACCCGCGGACGGCACAUGAUACUGCGAGACUAGAGUAAUGGAGGGGGAACCGGAAUUCUCGGUGUAGCAGUGAAAUGCGUAGAUAUCGAGAGGAACACUCGUGGCGAAGGCGAGUUCCUGGACAUUAACUGACGCUGAGGCACGAAGGCCAGGGGAGCGAAAGGGAUUAGAUACCCUUGUAGUC